RNAcentral lists this ribosomal RNA (253 nucleotides) under uncultured organism. Its description in RNAcentral is "partial 16S ribosomal RNA". It matches the Rfam family "Bacterial small subunit ribosomal RNA", at positions 524 to 776 of the family's 1533-position model. The record is from RNAcentral.
UACGUAGGCAGCAAGCGUUGUUCGGAGUUACUGGGUUUAAAGGGUGCGUAGGCGGGUUAUUAAGUCAGUGGUGAAAGCCUACAGCUCAACUGUAGAAUUGCCAUUGAUACUGAUGAUCUUGAGUAUGAUUGAGGUGGGCGGAAUGUGUCAUGUAGCGGUGAAAUGCUUAGAUAUGACACAGAACACCGAUUGCGAAGGCAGCUCACUAAGUCAUAACUGACGCUGAUGCACGAAAGCGUGGGGAGCAAACAGG